UACCGUACUUAAACCAACACAGGUGGGUAAGCUGAGUAAGCUCAGGCCAAGGCAUACCCCCGGGGAAGGAACUCGGCAAAAUGCAUGCGUGACUUCGGAGGAAGCAUGGCCCUUUAACAAAGCAAACGGUGGUUUGCUUUGUUAAAGGGCGUCACAAAAUUGGGGGCGGCGACUGUUUACUAAAAACACAGGGCUCUGCAACGUGGCAACACUCUGUAUAGGGCCUGACGCCUGCCCGGUGCCGGGAGACAGGGGUAUUGUGGUAUCCGCCACAGCCCCGAAGAACCGGUGAACGGCGGCCGUAACCCUGACGGUCCCAAGGUGCGAAAUUCCUUGGCUGAUAAUUGCAGUCCUGCAUGAAUGGCGUCACGACUGCCCCGCUGUCUCCCCCGGGGCGCCAGCGAAUUUGGCAUUCUCGUGAAGAGGCGAGAAACCUGGCACGGGACGAUGAGACCCCGUGCACCUUCACUGCACGUCGCCAGAGCUUUUUGUUGAUGGUUGGAUCAGCAUAGGUGGGAGCAUCUCAAACUUUGUUUGGUGCGCUCGUGAGAUACCACCCCAUUCAUGGCAAAGAGCACUUCACAAAGCAUUAAAGGAAUUCCUUCUGUGCCUGUGGAGCUUGGCGGCACGGCAGUUUCUCUGGGGCGGAGGCCUCCAAAAACGUAUCGGGGGCGCGCCAAGGUUCGGGCCCACUCUUUUACAUGAGUUCGGGCAAGUGGCAACUCAUUCACCGAGCUUGACUGCGAGGGACACUCCCCAAGCAGGCACGAAAGUGGGCAGUAGCGACCCAGGACAGCUCUGUGGACGCUGUCCUGAUCGUCGGAUCAAAGGUACGCCGGGGAUAACAGGUUCAUCGGCCCCAAGAGUCCAUAUCGACGGGCUGGUUUGACACCUCGAUGUCGGCUCAUCGCGUCCUCCGGCUGCAGCAGGUCGGAAGGGUAGGACUGUUCGUCCUUGAAAGCGGUACGUGAGCUGGGUUUAAUGCGUCGCAAGACAGCGUUGGUCCUAUCUGUGCCAGGUCUAUGGACUGAGGACAGGCCCAUUAGUACGAAAGGACCUGUGGGCCCCAACCUCUGGUGAACGGGUUCUCAUACACGUGGGACAGCCCGGCAGCUAAGUUGGCAACUGGAAUAACUGAAAGCAUCUCAAGUUAGAACGGUGUUCCUAGACGAGUCUCAAUGUUCGUUUUAUGCUAAAACGUAGAUCGGCGUUUUGUAAACUUGUGCAAACAAAGGCAUGAACGUACGAAAC
This 1251-nucleotide ribosomal RNA is filed under the name Pseudomuriella schumacherensis. RNAcentral describes it as "LSU rRNA". It matches the Rfam family "Bacterial large subunit ribosomal RNA", at positions 1640 to 2906 of the family's 2925-position model. The record is from RNAcentral. Lineage: Eukaryota; Viridiplantae; Chlorophyta; Chlorophyceae; Sphaeropleales; Pseudomuriellaceae.